Molecule: ribosomal RNA, 429 nt
Filed under: uncultured beta proteobacterium
Lineage: Bacteria; Pseudomonadati; Pseudomonadota; Betaproteobacteria
Description: bacterial SSU rRNA
Rfam family: Bacterial small subunit ribosomal RNA
Source: RNAcentral
UGGGGAAUUUUGGACAAUGGGGGCAACCCUGAUCCAGCCAUGCCGCGUGCGGGAAGAAGGCCUUCGGGUUGUAAACCGCUUUCGGCCGGAACGAAAUCGGCGGGAUGAAUAGUCUUGCUGGAUGACGGUACCGGAAGAAGAAGCACCGGCUAACUACGUGCCAGCAGCCGCGGUAAUACGUAGGGUGCGAGCGUUAAUCGGAAUUACUGGGCGUAAAGCGUGCGCAGGCGGCCGCAUAAGCCAGAGGUGAAAUCCCCGGGCUCAACCUGGGAAUGGCCUUUGGGACUGUGUGGCUGGAGUGCGGCAGAGGGGGGUGGAAUUCCUGGUGUAGCAGUGAAAUGCGUAGAGAUCGGGAGGAACACCGAUGGCGAAGGCAGCCGUCUGGGUCGACACUGACGCUGAGGCGCGAAGGCGUGGGGAGCAAACAGG